GGAUAACUCCCGGGAAACCGGGGCUAAUACCGGAUGGUUGUUUGAACCGCAUGGUUCAACAUAAAAGGUGGCUUCGGCUACCACUUACAGAUGGACCCGCGGCGCAUUAGCUAGUUGGUGAGGUAACGGCUCACCAAGGCNACGAUGCGUAGCCGACCUGAGAGGGUGAUCGGCCACACUGGGACUGAGACACGGCCCAGACUCCUACGGGAGGCAGCAGUAGGGAAUCUUCCGCAAUGGACGAAAGUCUGACGGAGCAACGCCGCGUGAGUGAUGAAGGUUUUCGGAUCGNAAAGCUCUGUUGUUAGGGAAGAACAAGUGCCGUUCAAAUAGGGCGGCACCUUGACGGUNCCUAACCAGAAAGCCACGGCUAACUACGUGCCAGCAGCCGCGGUAAUACGUAGGUGGCAAGCGUUGUCCGNAAUUAUUGGGCGUAAAGGGCUCGCAGGCGGUUUCUUAAGUCUGAUGUGAAAGCCCCCGGCUCAACCGGGGAGGGGUCAUUGGAAACUGGGGAACUUGAGUGCAGAAGAGGAGAGUGGAAUUCCACGUGUAGCGGUGAAAUGCGUAGAGAUGUGGAGGAACACCAGUGGCGAAGGNGACUCUCUGGUCUGUAACUGACGCUGAGGAGCGAAAGCGUGGGGAGCGAACAGGAUUAGAUACCCUGGUNGUCCACGCCGUAAACGAUGAGUGCUAAGUGUUAGGGGGUUUCCCGCCCCUUAGUGCUGCAGCUAACGCAUUAAGCACUCCGCCUGGGGAGUACGGUCGCAAGACUGAAACUCAAAGGAAUUGACGGAGGNCCCGCACAAGCGGUGGAGCAUGUAGUUUAAUUCGAAGCAACGCGAAGAACCUUACCAGGUCUUGACAUCCUNUGACAAUCCUAGAGAUAGGACGUCCCCUUCGGGGGCAGAGUGACAGGUGGUGCAUGGUUGUNGUCAGCUCGUGUCGUGAGAUGUUGGGUUAAGUCCCGCAACGAGCGCAACCCUUGAUCUUAGUUGCCAGCAUUCAGUUGGGCACUCUAAGGUGACUGCCGGUGACAAACCGGAGGAAGGUGGGGAUGACGUCAAAUCAUCAUGCCCCUUAUGACCUGGGCUACACACGUGCUACAAUGGNCAGAACAAAGGGCAGCGAAACCGCGAGGUUAAGCCAAUCCCACAAAUCUGUUCUCAGUUCGGAUCGCAGUNUGCAACUCGACUGCGUGAAGCGGAAUCGCUAGUAAUCGCGGAUCNAGCNAUGCCGCGGUGCAAUC
This 1246-nucleotide ribosomal RNA is filed under the name Bacillus velezensis. RNAcentral describes it as "bacterial SSU rRNA". It matches the Rfam family "Bacterial small subunit ribosomal RNA", at positions 140 to 1369 of the family's 1533-position model. The record is from RNAcentral. Lineage: Bacteria; Bacillati; Bacillota; Bacilli; Caryophanales; Bacillaceae.